UACGUAGGUGGCAAGCGUUGUCCGGAAUUAUUGGGCGUAAAGAGCUCGUAGGCGGCCUGUCGCGUCGGCUGUGAAAACCCGAGGCUCAACCUCGGGCCUGCAGUCGAUACGGGCAGGCUAGAGUUCGGUAGGGGAGACUGGAAUUCCCGGUGUAGCGGUGAAAUGCGCAGAUAUCGGGAAGAACACCCGUGGCGAAGGCGGCUCUCUGGGACGGUACUGACGCUGAGACGCGAAAGCGUGGGGAGCGAACAGG
Molecule: ribosomal RNA, 253 nt
Filed under: uncultured bacterium
Lineage: Bacteria
Description: partial 16S ribosomal RNA
Rfam family: Bacterial small subunit ribosomal RNA
Source: RNAcentral